AUUUGGUCUAUCAUGUAGCCCAAAUCUGCUGUUUCCUUAAUGAUCUUCUGUGUGAAAAUUCCUUCCGUUGUUAAAGUGGAUACUGAUGUCUGCUAUUAUUGUAUUGUUGUUCAUUUAUAUCUCCUCAUCUGUCAAUGUUUUCUUUAUAUAUUUAAGUGCUCUAGUAUUGGGUACUAUAUAUUUCUAUGUAUUAUAUCUUCUUGAUGAUUUUAUCUUUGUAUAAUGAUCUUAUUUGUCUCUUUUAUAGGUUUUAAGUCUCUUUUGUUUAAUACAAGUAUAUGUUGAGAGCCACAGCCAAAGGGGCCCCAGCAAACUUCCAGCUGCCAGCAAACUUCCAGCUGCUGGCUGAUGAUUGGCUCACAGCGGCCCCAGCAACAUCUAGCUGAUUGGCUCCUCUGCGGUGAUGCUCAUUGGGCUGUUUCCCUGCCCUUUCAGACCACGGAGCUGCUCAUUGGGGGACUUUUUUGGCUCCGCCCACGUGACCCAGCCAAUCGGCCUCAAGAGCAGGAGGAUUGUGGGAGGUGGAGAAGAAGCUUGUGUGGGAGAGAGAGGCUUGUGGAAAGCCGGUGGUGGCAGUUGAGGCUCUGAAGGUUUUUCCUGAGAGGCUGUUUUGUUUGGCGUGUGUGGUUCUAAAAAUAAAGUUAGU
Molecule: long non-coding RNA, 646 nt
Filed under: Marmota monax (woodchuck)
Lineage: Eukaryota; Metazoa; Chordata; Mammalia; Rodentia; Sciuridae
Source: RNAcentral